Molecule: ribosomal RNA, 279 nt
Filed under: uncultured bacterium
Lineage: Bacteria
Description: partial 16S ribosomal RNA
Rfam family: Bacterial small subunit ribosomal RNA
Source: RNAcentral
UGCCAGCAGCCGCGGUAAUACGAAGGGGGCUAGCGUUGUUCGGAAUUACUGGGCGUAAAGAGCAUGUAGGCGGAUUGGACAGUUGGAGGUGAAAUCCCGGAGCUCAACUCCGGAACUGCCUUCAAUACUUCCAGUCUAGAAUCUGUAAGGGGGUGGUGGAAUUCCGAGUGUAGAGGUGAAAUUCGUAGAUAUUCGGAGGAACACCAGUGGCGAAGGCGACCACCUGGACCGGUACUGACGCUGAGGCGCGAAAGCGUGGGGAGCAAACAGGAUUAGAUA